CUGCUGUUAGGCUGGGGGUUUCCAGUGGAGAACAGCCUUUAUUUUUGACCCUGAGGCCAAGCACUAGAAGUGGAGUCAAGACUUCAAGGUGCUAGGGGGAGUGUAAGAAGAAAGAAGAGUUGUUUCUUCUUACCUUUCCUCUCUUCAAGAGGUUUCCUGUCCCACAGAAAACUUGAUGAGGAAGAUUUCCUUCCUAUAUGCACAUUUAUAACAGCUUCCCAUAGCACUGCACUGCGACAACCUGUUCAGUGGUGACUGCUAUUUUUGUUUUCCUUUUUUUCCAGCCUUCUACAACUAUCACUGAUUACGGCCAUGUUGUCUUUCUGGUUCAGAGAACACUGUAAAUAAUUACAGCCAACCAACUCUGUGGCUCUGGCAUCUAUUUCAGUUGUCACUAUUUCACACGAUUUAAAGUAGAAAGACACUUCUUUGAUCUAUCCAAUAUUAUAUAGAGGUUUGGGGGUUUUUUAAAAUUCUUUUUAUUGUGACAUUUUUGAGACAAUUGGUUUUACAGCUUUGGCCAUACCACUUG
Non-coding RNA from Zonotrichia albicollis (white-throated sparrow), 532 nucleotides. The record is from RefSeq and is a predicted model, not a curated record. Lineage: Eukaryota; Metazoa; Chordata; Aves; Passeriformes; Passerellidae.